Molecule: ribosomal RNA, 466 nt
Filed under: uncultured bacterium
Lineage: Bacteria
Description: partial 16S ribosomal RNA
Rfam family: Bacterial small subunit ribosomal RNA
Source: RNAcentral
GAUGAACGCUGGCGGCGUGCUUAACACAUGCAAGUCGAACGGAAAGGCUCCUGCUUGCAGGGGUACUCGAGUGGCGAACGGGUGAGUAACACGUGGGUGAUCUGCCCUGCACUUCGGGAUAAGCCUGGGAAACUGGGUCUAAUACCGGAUAGGACGAUGGUUUGGAUGCCAUUGUGGAAAGUUUUUCGGUGUGGGAUGAGCUCGCGGCCCAUCAGCUUGUUGGUGGGGUAAUGGCCUACCAAGGCGUCGACGGGUAGCCGGCCUGAGAGGGUGUACGGCCACAUUGGGACUGAGAUACGGCCCAGACUCCUACGGGAGGCAGCAGUGGGGAAUAUUGCACAAUGGGCGCAAGCCUGAUGCAGCGACGCCGCGUGGGGGAUGACGGCCUUCGGGUUGUAAACUCCUUUCGCUAGGGACGAAGCGUUUUGUGACGGUACCUGGAGAAGAAGCACCGGCUAACUACGUG